UACAGGGGGUGCAAACGUUGCUCGGAAUCAUUGGGCGUAAAGCGCACGUAGGCGGUUACUUAAGUCGGAUGUGAAAGCCCUUGGCUCAACUGAGGAAGUGCAUCCGAAACUGAGUAGCUAGAGUACGAAAGAGGGUCGCGGAAUUCCCGGUGUAGAGGUGAAAUUCGUAGAUAUCGGGAGGAACACCAGUGGCGAAGGCGGCGACCUGGGCAGAUACUGACGCUGAGGUGCGAAAGCGUGGGGAGCAAACAGG
This 253-nucleotide ribosomal RNA is filed under the name uncultured bacterium. RNAcentral describes it as "partial 16S ribosomal RNA". It matches the Rfam family "Bacterial small subunit ribosomal RNA", at positions 524 to 776 of the family's 1533-position model. The record is from RNAcentral.